Molecule: long non-coding RNA, 943 nt
Filed under: Triticum aestivum (bread wheat)
Lineage: Eukaryota; Viridiplantae; Streptophyta; Magnoliopsida; Poales; Poaceae
Description: long non-coding RNA (TAES_LNC025114)
Source: RNAcentral
GUUACUAGUGUGUUUAUCAAAGCUUUACUAGUGUUUAUGAGUAAAACGGUCGUGUCUAUUUCUCUAAACAUUCUGCAAAUAAUUUUAAAAACCUACAGUUUAUGCAGUUUCGUUGUGGUUGAUUGACAUCCCUGUGAAGAUAAAAUUUAGGACCAACUGUUUGCUUUUUGUGAAGAAAAAACAGUUGGUAAAAAAAUCAUAGAAACCCCCAAUAAGUCGAUUUUUAGUUGACAGAAGAAGUAUGAUUCGGUGUUGGUGUGUGUGAACUUCUGACGUUUUGAUCUCUGAAUGCUAGUUGGACAUUUUGCUAGUCUGACAUUUUGAUAUCUGAAUGCGAGUUUGACAUUUUGAUAUCUGAAUCCCUUUCUCCUCCCCUCAUCUUUUCUUCUUCUGCUCUCUGUCUGACCCCCUUCUCGUCUCCCAUUCGAACCAGGAUGUCACCAUGGGAGAAGAAGGCGUGAUGUGUUGUGCUGCUGCUUGGGAGGGACGCCAUGGGCCUCCCUCCACUGCUUCUUCUCUUCCCCUAACUCCAUCAAGGUGAUGGAUUGGUACAACGACCUACUCCCCUGCUUCCUAUGUUAAUUUGUUGUGCAAUGUGGAUGUGAUGUAUUUUAGGCAUGAUUAAAUACAUAUUUUGGUUCAACUCUGACUGAAACAACUUGUUGGUUCAGUUUCUUGUAUGAAGAACAAAUAUGACAAACACAUUUUCUUUUCCUUUUUGUUCAAGAUUCAUUUCUAAUUAUAAACCAAACUGAAAUUGGAAAUAGUUUAGAAUGAAUGAAGCAGAGAGUCCUUCCGUCUUUGGCAGCUGGCACAAUUCCUUCUCAAGGUGCUCGUGUUUGUGGAGGUGAUUGACCUCCUUUUUUCAUCUAUGUAUCAAGGUGCAGCUGUUGAGCAUUGAUAGGUGUUGUUCGGUGUACCUCGCCAUGAUUUCCAGGACAUG